CGAGUGAAGCGGGAAUAGCUCAAUUUGAAAUCUCCAAGGGCAACCUUGGCGAAUUGUAGUUUAGAGAAGUGUCUGCUGUUGUAGAACGCCGUCCAAGUUCUUUGGAACGAGACAUCAGAGAGGGUGAGAAUCCCGUAUCUGACGGCGAGUUGUUCUAUGGCUGUACGGGACAUUUUCCAAGAGUCGGGUUGUUUGGGAAUGCAGCCCAAAAUGGGUGGUAAAUUUCAUCUAAAGCUAAAUAUGGGCACGAGACCGAUAGCGAACAAGUACCGUGGGAAAGAUGAAAAGCACUUUGAAAAGAGAGUUAAAUAGCACGUGAAGCCGUUAAAAUGGAAACGAUUAAAGUCAGCAGUGCUGUAUGGGUAAUCAAUCCAGGGGCUGUUAGCAUGGUGUUUUUGGACGGCUGAGUUACUAUUUCACGAUAGUGGCUUGAUGCCAAGGGUGCUAGAGUUGGCGGCUGAUUAUAAAAUACAUUGUCUGAUGUUGACGAAAUGGCUUUAACCGACCCGUCUUGAAACACGGACCAAGGAGUCUAACAUAUGCGCGAGUCUUAGGGUGGCAAACCCAGUGGAGGCGUAAUGAAAGUAAAGGUAGUCUUGGACUAUUGAGGUGAGAGCUUGGGGUUCAACUCCUUGCGCAUCAUCGACCGAUCUGGAUUUUCUUUGAAAGAUUUGAGUAAGAGCGUAUCUGUUAGGACCCGAAAGAUGGUGAACUAUGCCUGGAUAGGGUGAAGCCAGAGGAAACUCUGGUGGAGGCUCGUAGCGGUUCUGACGUGCAAAUCGAUCGUCAAAUUUGGGUAUAGGGGCGAAAGACUAAUCGAACCAUCUAGUAGCUGGUUCCCACCGAAGUUUCCCUCAGGAUAGCUGGAACUUGUAACACACAGUUUUAUCGGGUAAAGCGAAUGAUUAGAGGNCUUAGGGUUGAAACAACCUUUACCUAUUCUCAAACUUUAAAUAGGUAAGAAGUUUAACUUGCUUGAACAUUUUCAAUGAAGUUGGACAUUCUGAAUGUGGAGUUCCUAGUGGGCCAUUUUUGGUAAGCAGAACUGGCGAUGCGGGAUGAACCGAACGUAAAGUUAAGGUGCCUAAAUCAACGUUCAUCAGACCCCACAAAAGGUGUUGGUUGAUCUAGACAGCAGGACGGUGGCCAUGGAAGUCGGAAUCCGCUAAGGAGUGUGUAACAACUCACCUGCCGAAUCAACUAGCCCUGAAAAUGGAUGGCGCUUAAACGUUGUACCUAUACAUUACCGCCGACCAGCAAAUGCGAUGCUGCGGCGAGUAGGUGGGCGCGGGGGUGGUGGCUAAGCCUAGGACGUGAGUCUGGGUGGAACUGCCCUUGGUGCAGAUCUUGGUGGUAGUAGCAAAUAUUGGCUGAUGCUAUAACCUCGCCUUAUCGAAAGGGAAUCAGGUUAAUAUUCCUGAACCAGAAUUCGGAUAUUUGUUAUCAAGGGUAACACUUUGGUAGCAACUUUGUUGUAUAGGGGAGACCUUGUGCAGCAAGGAUUAUGCGGCAACGCAAACAAACUCGGAGACGCUGGCAGGAGCCCUGGGAAGAGUUCUCUUUUCUUUUUAACAUGUCUUCAAAGUUUUUCUGAAUGCCAUGGAAUCAGAUUAUCUGGAGAAAUGGCAUGAAGCAUGGAAAAGCAUCACAUUUCAGGUGAUGUCCGGUGCGCUCUUGACGGCCCUUGAAAAUCCGAGGGAGAGAAUAAUUUUCGAUUCUGGUCGUACUGAUAACCGCAGCAGGUCUCCAAGGUGAACAGCCUCUAGNUGAUAGAACAAGU
RNAcentral lists this ribosomal RNA (1780 nucleotides) under Salpingoeca oahu. RNAcentral describes it as "eukaryotic LSU rRNA". It matches the Rfam family "Eukaryotic large subunit ribosomal RNA", at positions 90 to 1900 of the family's 3401-position model. The record is from RNAcentral. Lineage: Eukaryota; Choanoflagellata; Craspedida; Salpingoecidae.